Molecule: ribosomal RNA, 301 nt
Filed under: uncultured bacterium
Lineage: Bacteria
Description: partial 16S ribosomal RNA
Rfam family: Bacterial small subunit ribosomal RNA
Source: RNAcentral
CAGUAGCCGCGGGAAUACGUAGGGUGCGAGCGUUAAUCGGAAUUACUGGGCGUAAAGCGUGCGCAGGCGGUUCGUUAAGACAGAUGUGAAAUCCCUGAGCUUAACUUAGGAAUUGCAUUCGAUACUGGGAAGCUAGAGUAUGGGAGAGGAUGGUAGAAUUCCAGGUGUAGCGGUGAAAUGCGUAGAGAUCUGGAGGAAUACCGAUGGCGAAGGCAGCCAUCUGGCCUAAUACUGACGCUGAGGUACGAAAGCAUGGGGAGCAAACAGGAUUAGAUACCCCGGUAGUCCCUGUCUCUUAUAA